RNAcentral lists this ribosomal RNA (274 nucleotides) under uncultured bacterium. RNAcentral's name for it is "partial 16S ribosomal RNA". It matches the Rfam family "Bacterial small subunit ribosomal RNA", at positions 523 to 796 of the family's 1533-position model. The record is from RNAcentral.
AUACGGAGGGGGCUAGCGUUGUUCGGAAUUACUGGGCGUAAAGCGCGCGUAGGCGGAUUGAUCAGUCAGGGGUGAAAUCCCGAGGCUUAACCUCGGAACUGCCUUUGAUACUGUCAAUCUUGAGUUCGAGAGAGGUGAGUGGAAUUCCUAGUGUAGAGGUGAAAUUCGUAGAUAUUAGGAAGAACACCAGUGGCGAAGGCGGCUCACUGGCUCGAUACUGACGCUGAGGUGCGAAAGCGUGGGGAGCAAACAGGAUUAGAUACCCUAGUAGUCC